AUGGCGGAUCCAGCUGCUCUGCCAAUCGUGCCUUGUCCGGAUUGCGGCAGGAACGUGGUGACCUACGUUGCUAGGCGCGGGCAGAACGCCUGUCGGUGUUUCUACAAGUGCCGGAAUCACAACCCUUCAGCGGGCGGAUGCGAUUUCUACAGGUGGCAGGAAGGCUAUGCAGCGCAUCUGGCCAAUCUUGAAGGAGGAGAAGCUGCUGUGGGUCAAAUCGGUCCGGGUCAGAUGCAGGGUGGGCAAGCUGUCGAAGCUCAAGUUGUGCAGGCUGAUCACGGCCAGCCGGUGCAGCAAAAUGGGCCGCCGGAGGCGUCGCAGGCUGCAUCGUUUGCUAGUGCGGUCGCAUGA
This 351-nucleotide ribosomal RNA is filed under the name Triticum aestivum (bread wheat). RNAcentral describes it as "partial small subunit ribosomal RNA". The record is from RNAcentral. Lineage: Eukaryota; Viridiplantae; Streptophyta; Magnoliopsida; Poales; Poaceae.